This 29-nucleotide non-coding RNA is filed under the name Mus musculus (house mouse). Lineage: Eukaryota; Metazoa; Chordata; Mammalia; Rodentia; Muridae. The record is from RNAcentral.
UGCCCUUACACUGAGUGUCCUUGGCAGAG